Molecule: non-coding RNA, 70 nt
Organism: Parelaphostrongylus tenuis
Lineage: Eukaryota; Metazoa; Nematoda; Chromadorea; Rhabditida; Metastrongylidae
Source: the annotation of a GenBank genome assembly
GUCUCGGUGGUGUGGUGGUAGCACACGCACCAGUAUGAGUGGAACGCGGGUUCAACUCCCGUCUGAGAUC